This 470-nucleotide ribosomal RNA is filed under the name uncultured bacterium. RNAcentral describes it as "bacterial SSU rRNA". It matches the Rfam family "Bacterial small subunit ribosomal RNA", at positions 332 to 793 of the family's 1533-position model. The record is from RNAcentral.
AGCACUCCUACGGGAGGCAGCAGUGGGGAAUAUUGCACAAUGGGCGCAAGCCUGAUGCAGCCAUGCCGCGUGUAUGAAGAAGGCCUUCGGGUUGUAAAGUACUUUCAGCAGUGAGGAAGGUGGGUAUGUUAAUAGCAUAUUCAUUUGACGUUAGCUGCAGAAGAAGCACCGGCUAACUCCCGUGCCAGCAGCCGCGGUAAUACGGAGGGUGCGAGCGUUAAUCGGAAUUACUGGGCGUAAAGCGCAUGCAGGUGGUUUGUUAAGUCAGAUGUGAAAGCCCGGGGCUCAACCUCGGAAUUGCAUUUGAAACUGGCAAACUAGAGUACUGUAGAGGGGGGUAGAAUUUCAGGUGUAGCGGUGAAAUGCGUAGAGAUCUGAAGGAAUACCGGUGGCGAAGGCGGCCCCCUGGACAGAUACUGACACUCAGAUGCGAAAGCGUGGGGAGCAAACAGGAUUAGAUACCCUGGUAG